Molecule: ribosomal RNA, 386 nt
Filed under: uncultured prokaryote
Description: bacterial SSU rRNA
Rfam family: Archaeal small subunit ribosomal RNA
Source: RNAcentral
GCGCGAAAACUUUACAAUGCUGGCAACAGCGAUAAGGGAACCUCGAGUGCCAGGUUACAAAUCUGGCUGUCGAGAUGCCUAAAAAGCAUUUCAUAGCAAGGGCCGGGCAAGACCGGUGCCAGCCGCCGCGGUAACACCGGCGGCUCGAGUGGUAACCGUUAUUAUUGGGUCUAAAGGGUCUGUAGCCGGCCGGAUAAGUCUCUUGAGAAAUCUGGCAGCUUAACUGUCAGGCUUUCAGGAGGUACUGUCUGGCUCGAGGCCGGAAGAGGUGAGAGGUACUUCAGGGGUAGGGGUGAAAUCUUGUAAUCCUUGAAGGACCACCAGUGGCGAAGGCGUCUCACCAGAACGGACCUGACGGCAAGGGACGAAAGCUAGGGGCACGAACC